This 434-nucleotide ribosomal RNA is filed under the name uncultured Lachnospiraceae bacterium. RNAcentral's name for it is "bacterial SSU rRNA". It matches the Rfam family "Bacterial small subunit ribosomal RNA", at positions 341 to 792 of the family's 1533-position model. The record is from RNAcentral. Lineage: Bacteria; Bacillati; Bacillota; Clostridia; Lachnospirales; Lachnospiraceae.
ACGGGAGGCAGCAGUGGGGAAUAUUGGUCAAUGGGGGCAACCCUGAACCAGCGACGCCGCGUGAGUGAAGAAGUAUUUCGGUAUGUAAAGCUCUAUCAGCAGGGAAGAUAAUGACAGUACCUGACUAAGAAGCACCGGCUAAAUACGUGCCAGCAGCCGCGGUAAUACGUAUGGUGCAAGCGUUAUCCGGAUUUACUGGGUGUAAAGGGAGCGUAGGCGGUUUGGCAAGUCUGAUGUGAAACCCCGGGGCUUAACCCCGGGCAUGCAUUGGAAACUGUCGGACUAGAGUGUCGGAGAGGAAAGCGGAAUUCCUAGUGUAGCGGUGAAAUGCGUAGAUAUUAGGAGGAACACCAGUGGCGAAGGCGGCUUUCUGGACGAUAACUGACGCUGAGGCUCGAAAGCGUGGGGAGCAAACAGGAUUAGAUACCCUGGUA